ACGGGGGGGGCAAGCGUUGUUCGGAAUUACUGGGCGUAAAGGGCUCGUAGGUGGCCAACUAAGUCAGACGUGAAAUCCCUCGGCUUAACCGGGGAACUGCGUCUGAUACUGGAUGGCUUGAGUUUGGGAGAGGGACGCGGAAUUCCAGGUGUAGCGGUGAAAUGCGUAGAUAUCUGGAGGAACACCGGUGGCGAAGGCGGCGUCCUGGACCAACACUGACACUGAGGAGCGAAAGCCAGGGGAGCAAACGGGAUUAGAUACCCCGGUAGUCCUGGCCCUAAACGAUGAAUGCUUGGUGUGGCGGGUAUCGAUCCCUGCCGUGCCGAAGCUAACGCAUUAAGCAUUCCGCCUGGGGAGUACGGUCGCAAGGCUG
Molecule: ribosomal RNA, 373 nt
Filed under: uncultured bacterium
Lineage: Bacteria
Description: bacterial SSU rRNA
Rfam family: Bacterial small subunit ribosomal RNA
Source: RNAcentral